UACGUGAGGGGCGAACGUUGUUCGGUGUCACUGGGCUUAAAGGGUGCGUAGGUGGUUGUGUAAGUAACGUGUGAAAUCCCUCGGCUUACCCGGGGAAUUGCAUGUUAUACUGCAUGACUUGAGGUCUAAAGGGGAAAAGGGAACUCCAGGUGUAGCGGUGAAAUGCGCAGAUAUCUGGGGGAAGGCCGGCGGCGAAGGCGCUUUUCUGGUUAGAUCCUGACACUGAGGCACGAAAGCGUGGGGAGCAAACAGG
Molecule: ribosomal RNA, 253 nt
Filed under: uncultured bacterium
Lineage: Bacteria
Description: partial 16S ribosomal RNA
Rfam family: Bacterial small subunit ribosomal RNA
Source: RNAcentral